This 500-nucleotide ribosomal RNA is filed under the name uncultured bacterium. RNAcentral's name for it is "partial 16S ribosomal RNA". It matches the Rfam family "Bacterial small subunit ribosomal RNA", at positions 30 to 523 of the family's 1533-position model. The record is from RNAcentral.
AUUGAACGCUGGCGGAAUGCUUUACACAUGCAAGUCGAACGGCAGCACGGACUUCGGUCUGGUGGCGAGUGGCGAACGGGUGAGUGAUGUAUCGGAACGUGCCCAGUCGUGGGGGAUAACGUAGUGAAAAUUACGCUAAUACCGCAUACGAUCUAUGAAUGAAAGCGGGGGAUCGCAAGACCUCGCGCGAUUGGAGCGGCCGAUAUCAGAUUAGGUAGUGGGUGGGGUAAAGGCCCACCAAGCCAACGAUCUGUAGCUGGUCUGAGAGGACGACCAGCCACACUGGAACUGAGACACGGUCCAGACUCCUACGGGAGGCAGCAGUGGGGAAUUUUGGACAAUGGGCGAAAGCCUGAUCCAGCCAUUCCGCGUGCAGGAUGAAGGCCCUCGGGUUGUAAACUGCUUUUGUACAGAACGAAAAGGUUUCUACUAAUACUAGGAGCUCAUGACGGUACUGUAAGAAUAAGCACCGGCUAACUACGUGCCAGCAGCCGCCGUAA